CAUCCGGCGGCGCCUCCUCCCUCUUUCCACGGCCUCCCGCAUCGCGCUGAGCCUCGUCGGCCGCUUCCCCCAGCCGGUGUCCCUCUCCAGAUGCAUCCUCCCCGAGAUCCGGUACGGAGAGAGUCAUGGUGGCAGGGGCAGAUGCAUGAGGAGGAGGAGGCCAUGGUCAUGGUGGCGCGACGGAGGUCGUGGCUCGCUCCCCGCCGCCUCUCUCGUGCCCCCCUUUUCCCUACCCCCUCCCCGGCGUCCUUGCCUCUGCCAUGGCCUCCGCCCGAUUCCAGAUCGGCCGCAGGUCGAGGAGCGGUUGCUGCAGUGAGGGCAGCAGCGUGCAGAGGGGGAGAGGUCAAGGACGGUUGCCAGUUCAUGGAGGAGAGAUGCAACACAAUGUUGAUUCCUACACUGAGUUUUAGUGGUGGCAUGGUGUCCAUCUCCAGGCCGGUUGCAACCUUCUGCCCCCAUCAUUCCCUGUAUUUUUUUUUCAUAAUUUACACACUAAGUUGUAGAUUGGUCGGAUCUAUUGGCAUUAGACAGCACAAGAAUAACAAUAGUUGUCAGCUUUUUCAUGUGCAGGUUCAGCAGCGGCAAUCCUCGAGAUAGAGUUAGGCCGAUCUGAAUAAACAGAGAUGAGCAGCAGCAUGGUUGGGUGCUCCAUUUGUAUGCGUUGCAUUGGUUAAUUUUGUUGUGCUCAUGUUUCUGUUUCAUGCUAUUGUCCACGAGUUCUACUUGCUGCUUAUUUCCAAUUAAGUAUUUAGUUCCAUAAUGCUCUGGCCAACCUAUUUUAUUGCAACAUUUGUGGUUCUUUUGUGCCAGAUUAGGUGUUUGUAUUUUUUUCCCGAGUUCUUAUGGCAUACUUUCUUAAGAUUUUUAUUGUGACACUUGCAGAAGUGCGGUUCAACAUUAGUUAGUAAUGCCCAGUAAGUUACUAAGGUGUUAUAUAACUGCAAUCCUUGAAAGCAGAGAUGAGAUAUCUAUCCAAUUCUACAUAUAUGGUUUAAAGUUCAUUGCGACAACCUUGCUCAUAUGUUUCGAUUAGUACAGAGCAAGGUUGGUUUAAAGUUCAUUCUAAAAUUCUUCUCUUUGUUGUAUCAUUUCUACAUAUAUCCUUUAAAGUUAGAGAAAUUUAGAUGUGAAAUGCCCAGAGUAUUAUGUCACACUUUUAUCAGAUUGCCAAGUUGGUAGCCGCUUUUGCGAUUAUAAAUAUUUUUUUUUCAGAGCGGCUGCUACUUCAGUGCCCAACUUUGAAGAAUGUACAUGCAUUUGGAUGCCAAGAUAUGUCGAUUGGUGCAAUUAGAACCCCAGGUGGCUAUGUUGUUGAUGGUGUUUAAUUAUUGUACUACCCGCAAAAAAAUACCCGCAAGAAAAUAUUGUACUGACAUAUCUGAGAAUUUUAAUGAUCUAUCUGCAACCAGGUGGUUAGGUGAUAUGGUCAGUUUAUGUUAUAGGGUGUGAUGUGAAGCUCAUGCUGGUUCAUUACAAGAGGUUAUGUACCACUCAUGUCUUAUUUUCUGCAGGUACCUGCCAUUCUCUGAUCCAUAUUCUAGAUGCUUCCAUUGCUAGAACAUUCUCAAGCUAUAUUGCAAAGUUUGUUGCUUAUAUAGUUAUUACUAUUGGUCUAUAUGGUGUCGGCUGGAUGUGUGCCACCUGAAAGAUCUCAUUGUUUGUAACCAGGCGAUACAAACAUUCCAUUACUACCAGACAUGUCUUUCUUUGGAAUGUGAGGAGGGAGCUCUGUUGUUGUCAGUGGCUACAUCAUUUCGACCAGUGAUAUGGUUAAUCUUUGCGAUGUGGACCAAUGGCAUGAUCUGUACCUAAGGUUGGAGUUGCUGAAUUAGGUUCAGAGAAUGGCCUCUAUUGCCUUACAGUCCAACUGAACACGUGAGAAAUUACUGAUGCGCAUGGAUGACAGCUUUCCCACGACGAAGCAAAAUUGCAGGACCUAUUAGGAUGCAUACCUGAAGGAGUGCAUCUACUGGCCCAGCUGAAAAUCGAUCUCUAUUUGGUUUAUGUAUUCUAUUUUUGCUCUCGGUUUUGUCUGCCGCUCGUCCUUGGUAUGCUCAUCCAUCUUGCCUGCUUUGCUUGCCUCCUUCUCCUCUCCAAUUCAGGUUAUGCGAUCUCUUGUGUUGCUGCGUCCCGAUCUCCAGCUUUGUUGCAUCUCUGUUCUGCUCCUCGAGGUGCUCAACAGGAGAAGCACUCAAUAGGAGAAGCAGGAGCAGCGGAGCGUUCGCCUCGUUGCAGGGUGCGUGGACAAACAGAUGCUAGGGGCAUUGUUUCACACAACACCUACACCAAUGACCACUGGACAAGUGAAGCAAAGGGACUUGUGAACAACAUGAAAACCUUUCAGCCAUCUUUUGAUUACAUGGAAAUAUUCCUUUGAUGCAUCCAUGUUAUUAUUUACUGACCGGCUGUGUUUAGCAACUUCAGUGUGUCGAUCAAAAUUACUACUCCCUCCAUCCGAAAAAGCUUGUUCCACGAAUGAUUGUAUGUAGCAUCAAGUUAGUGGUAGAUACAUCCAUUUGAGGAACAAGCUUUUUCGGAUGG
Molecule: long non-coding RNA, 2541 nt
Organism: Triticum dicoccoides
Lineage: Eukaryota; Viridiplantae; Streptophyta; Magnoliopsida; Poales; Poaceae
Exons: 11
Source: RefSeq, a predicted model, not a curated record